RNAcentral lists this long non-coding RNA (822 nucleotides) under Elaeis guineensis (African oil palm). Its description in RNAcentral is "long non-coding RNA (EGUI_LNC031737)". Lineage: Eukaryota; Viridiplantae; Streptophyta; Magnoliopsida; Arecales; Arecaceae. The record is from RNAcentral.
GUUCUAUAUUUGAUCUUCUACUUGGGUGAUUAUGUGUUCCAAUGUGGGCCCAACUUUUUGUUAAGUCUUCUCAUCUAUCCUAGGGUCAACAUUUUAGAGGUCCCAACUAAAGCCGAAGUGGCUCCAUGAGGUCGAUUGGCACCAGGACACCUUUAAAUUUGGAGGUCUCAAUCAGAGCCGAGGUGUCUCCAGUUGAUUGUUCUCAUCAGUUUGGAGGUCCCAACUUAGGUCGAGGUGUCUCCUUGUGGUCAGCUUUGGCCGAGCACAUAUUUAAAGGUCAUAGUUGGAGUGGGGUAUCUCUAAGAGAUUGGCCCUUCUCUGACCAAGUCAAUGGAGGUCCAAGCCAGAGCUUGGAUAUCCUCAGGUCGAUCCUCAUCUGAUCUUCAUUUUUAGAGGUCCAAACUAGUGCUCAAGUGUCCCCAAGUCAUCAAUGUGCUUCUAUGAAAUUCUUUCAAGGCCCCAGUCAGAGUUGGGGUGUCUCUAGGAGGUCGGUCCAAUUCUGACCUUAGUCAAUUUUUUUCUUAGUCAUUUUUCAACCUUUUUCACUUUUUUAGCAUGCUAAGAAAGGAUGAGGGUGGGAUAUGUUCGUGUUUCCCAUAAACAACACCAAUCUAUUGCUUUAAGGCUAUUCUAAAGCAUUGGAAAAAAACAAAAUUGGAACAGGAAAACACAAGAAAAGAAAUAAAUUAUAAGGAAAGCUGGAGGGGCAAAACCCUUCCUCUAGCACCAUUCUGUUGAUGCCAAAAUCUAGCCUGACUAUUGAUGAUCUAGAGGACAUUGUUCGAUCCAUAGAGAGACAUUGACCUAUGCACAAGUGUUGUC